UAGGGAAUCUUCGGCAAUGGACGAAAGUCUGACCGAGCAACGCCGCGUGAGUGAAGAAGGUUUUCGGAUCGUAAAACUCUGUUGUUAGCGAAGAACAAGGACGUUAGUAACUGAACGUCCCCUGACGGUAUCUAACCAGAAAGCCACGGCUAACUACGUGCCAGCAGCCGCGGUAAUACGUAGGUGGCAAGCGUUGUCCGGAUUUAUUGGGCGUAAAGCGAGCGCAGGCGGUUUCUUAAGUCUGAUGUGAAAGCCCCCGGCUCAACCGGGGAGGGUCAUUGGAAACUGGGAGACUUGAGUGCAGAAGAGGAGAGUGGAAUUCCAUGUGUAGCGGUGAAAUGCGUAGAUAUAUGGAGGAACACCAGUGGCGAAGGCGGCUCUCUGGUCUGUAACUGACGCUGAGGCUCGAAAGCGUGGGGAGCAAACAGG
Molecule: ribosomal RNA, 429 nt
Filed under: Chloroflexota bacterium
Lineage: Bacteria; Bacillati; Chloroflexota
Description: Chloroflexi bacterium partial 16S ribosomal RNA
Rfam family: Bacterial small subunit ribosomal RNA
Source: RNAcentral